UGGGGGCUGUGGAGGGGAAGUUGCGGAUGUUUCCUGUUCCUUUUGGAAGCUGCCGGUGUUUUCCGUGCAUUUGUGGGAGCCCGUGGUGUUCCUUGUGCCCUCGCGGCGAGGAGGCUGCGGCGGGCAAAUUCCCGGGGUUUCCUUUGUCCUUUCAGAGGCAGAUUACGGUGGCGUGGCUGCAUGUAAACACCCGCAUGUCGUGUAGCCCUCGCUCGCGGUCGCGAUGCCUUGAGGUUGAAUUGUCUGUCCCCAGGCUGAAUUCCCCUCGCCUUUUGUAAACACAACCAGUGCCGUCACGUAACUUAUACAGUAGGAGCUGCUUAAUAAAAGAAUUCAAGAAGAAUCGCGCAAGGUAUCGCAGAAACAAGCAUGCGUUAGGGAGCCGAAAUGGGCCGCGUCCAUCCCAGCAGUUCUUGCUGUCCGCCCCGCCGGGAGCCCAUGGAGAGAGGAGCCGGCCUCGGCUCACACUGGAAGCUGCCAUAGCCCUCGGUAUUUAAGGCUUGAACGCCGCAGAAACUCAGCUCUGAGUGCACAGUUUCCGCUUUUCCUGACCCUGCAAGUGGCAGCGUUCACACAUUUGGAAAGCUGUGAGAAGGGGGAACUAGAGCAGGCAGGAUAGCGAAAGAUAGACUUCAAAGCCAAGGCAGCACUCAGGAUUGUGAAGACUCUAUUCCUCUAU
Oenanthe melanoleuca is the source of this 679-nucleotide long non-coding RNA. RefSeq lists it as uncharacterized. Lineage: Eukaryota; Metazoa; Chordata; Aves; Passeriformes; Muscicapidae. The transcript has 3 exons. The record is from RefSeq and is a predicted model, not a curated record.